Molecule: transfer RNA, 71 nt
Filed under: candidate division CPR3 bacterium GWE2_35_7
Lineage: Bacteria; candidate division CPR3
Also listed under: 4 other names
Description: tRNA-Gln
Rfam family: tRNA
About the family: Transfer RNA (tRNA) molecules are approximately 80 nucleotides in length. Their secondary structure includes four short double-helical elements and three loops (D, anti-codon, and T loops).
Source: RNAcentral
UGGGGGAUAGUGAAAUGGUAUCACAGAUGACUCUGAAUCAUCUAUUCUAGGUUCGAGUCCUAGUCCCCCAG